GCGGGGGUUGCCAAGCCCGGUCAACGGCGUGAGGCUCAGAACCUCAUCUCUUAGGGGUUCGUGGGUUCAAAUCCCACCUCCCGCA
RNAcentral lists this transfer RNA (85 nucleotides) under Thermoproteota archaeon. RNAcentral describes it as "tRNA-Leu". It matches the Rfam family "tRNA". Rfam says of the family: Transfer RNA (tRNA) molecules are approximately 80 nucleotides in length. Their secondary structure includes four short double-helical elements and three loops (D, anti-codon, and T loops). Further hydrogen bonds mediate the characteristic L-shaped molecular structure. tRNAs have two regions of fundamental functional importance: the anti-codon, which is responsible for specific mRNA codon recognition, and the 3' end, to which the tRNAs corresponding amino acid is attached (by aminoacyl-tRNA synthetases). tRNAs cope with the degeneracy of the genetic code in two manners: having more than one tRNA (with a specific anti-codon) for a particular amino acid; and 'wobble' base-pairing, i.e. permitting non-standard base-pairing at the 3rd anti-codon position. The record is from RNAcentral. Lineage: Archaea; Thermoproteati; Thermoproteota. RNAcentral also lists the same sequence under 3 other names.